This 576-nucleotide long non-coding RNA is filed under the name Marmota monax (woodchuck). The record is from RNAcentral. Lineage: Eukaryota; Metazoa; Chordata; Mammalia; Rodentia; Sciuridae.
GGCCACCUUCAGCUGCAAGUGGAAAUCCCAACCCACAGGACUUGAGGCAAAAUCAUAACGUAUCCGUUUAUGUACCGGAAAAGUCUUAGGUAAGUCAGCUUCAGACACAGCUGGAUCCAGGAGCUCAAAACGAUCGCCCUGGCUCAACCAAACUUUCUUCUGCAGAGCUCCAUCUCAGCCAGCCCCUUCCCCUGGGGACCCAGUGACCUCAGCAAGCCCCAGAAACUGCAGACAGGAAUCAGAAAAUCCCAACAGCUCCAGGAAAAUAAGACAACAACCCGGCGUCUCCUUGUCAUUGGACAGACUGGUAUUACGCGUCACUUAGGAAGCAGUCACUGUGACCAGAAAGGGUAGACUGUCCACAGGCCAGGAUGGGCCAUGUGACCACUCCUGGUGAUGGGGGUGGACGAGGGAUGGAAGAGAAAAUGGCAGUUUAUUUCACAAACUCACUGAGCAACUGCUGUGUACCUGGCCCUGUUCUGGCAGAAAACAGGGCAGAAUCAGCCCCUUUCCCGACAGGCUGACACCUGGGUGGACCCCGGAAUAGCAAAGCUACAGAGACACAAGGCGAGGGGC